CAAAAAUCAUAAAGUCAUAUUUCUUUUACACCCUGUCCUUUAUAUUGUUUCAAGAUGAGAUUUUACUGUCACUGUUCAUCAAUGCAAAUUUUGUAGGUAGUCAUUUAAGUGAAUUUGACAAACAGAUAAGAAUGAAAUUUUGAUGCAGAAUGCAGUCAGGAUUUAACGUUUUCAUGGGCUUUUAUUUAUUUAAAUCUUUGGAUUAGAUUCAACUGUUUAUACUUUAAAUACCAAUUUUGUUACCCUUACAUAUAUUAUGACAAUAAAAGAAACAUUUGAUGGCAAAAACUUCUGUUUAUAACCUGUAAACAAUACACUGUACUGUUACAAAGACAUGUAUAAAUCUCAUUUUAAUACAUUGCCUUCAUAAAUAUAAAACAAUAAUAUUCAAAAUCGACUAGAGAACUUUAAGAUUAACAAAUAUACAAAUAUAAACAUAAUAAUGACUAACUAAUAUUAAUUAGUCCUGUAGAGACUUCAAAGACUUCAAAAAAUCAUGAAAGAACAGAAAGGUUUAAGGGAAAUUUAAGGUGCAAAAGCAAUUCAGUUGGCUAAUCAAGCUGAAAAUACCUGAAUAUUAAUGCAUCACUUUGAUGUCAUGCUUUGAAGCUAUGGUAAAAAUGAU
RNAcentral lists this long non-coding RNA (625 nucleotides) under Mytilus galloprovincialis (Mediterranean mussel). Lineage: Eukaryota; Metazoa; Mollusca; Bivalvia; Mytilida; Mytilidae. The record is from RNAcentral.